GCCGACGUAGCUCAGUUGGUAGAGCAACGCAUUCGUAAUGCGUGGGUCGGGGGUUCGAAUCCCUUCGUCGGCACCA
RNAcentral lists this transfer RNA (76 nucleotides) under Candidatus Nucleicultrix amoebiphila FS5. RNAcentral describes it as "tRNA-Thr". It matches the Rfam family "tRNA". From Rfam's summary of the family: Transfer RNA (tRNA) molecules are approximately 80 nucleotides in length. Their secondary structure includes four short double-helical elements and three loops (D, anti-codon, and T loops). Further hydrogen bonds mediate the characteristic L-shaped molecular structure. tRNAs have two regions of fundamental functional importance: the anti-codon, which is responsible for specific mRNA codon recognition, and the 3' end, to which the tRNAs corresponding amino acid is attached (by aminoacyl-tRNA synthetases). tRNAs cope with the degeneracy of the genetic code in two manners: having more than one tRNA (with a specific anti-codon) for a particular amino acid; and 'wobble' base-pairing, i.e. permitting non-standard base-pairing at the 3rd anti-codon position. The record is from RNAcentral. Lineage: Bacteria; Pseudomonadati; Pseudomonadota; Alphaproteobacteria; Holosporales; Nucleicultricaceae (SeqCode).